GAUGAACGCUGGCGGCGUGCCUAAUACAUGCAAGUCGAGCGAACAGACGAGGAGCUUGCUCCUCUGACGUUAGCGGUGGACGGGUGAGUAACACGUGAAUAACCUACCCUUGACUCUGGGAUAACUGCUAGAAAUGGUAGCUAAUACCGGAUACGACCCUCGGUGGCAUCACCAGGGGGUGGAAAGAAUUUCGGUCAAGGAUGGACUCGCGGCCUAUCAGCUAGUUGGUGAGGUAACGGCUCACCAAGGCGACGACGGGUAGCCGGCCUGAGAGGGUGACCGGCCACGCUGGGACUGAGACACGGCCUAGACUCCUACGGGAGGCAGCAGUGGGGAAUAUUGCACAAUGGGCGCAAGCCUGAUGCAGCAACGCCGCGUGAGGGAUGACGGCCUUCGGGUUGUAAACCUCUUUUAGUAGGGAAGAAGCGAAAGUGACGGUACCUGCAGAAAAAGCACCGGCUAACUACGUGCCAGCCGCCGCAGUAA
Molecule: ribosomal RNA, 486 nt
Filed under: uncultured bacterium
Lineage: Bacteria
Description: partial 16S ribosomal RNA
Rfam family: Bacterial small subunit ribosomal RNA
Source: RNAcentral